Antechinus flavipes (yellow-footed antechinus) is the source of this 1875-nucleotide long non-coding RNA. RefSeq lists it as uncharacterized. The record is from RefSeq and is a predicted model, not a curated record. Lineage: Eukaryota; Metazoa; Chordata; Mammalia; Dasyuromorphia; Dasyuridae. The transcript is spliced from 2 exons.
UUACCCAGACCCAGUCUAAAAAGUUACUGACCAACAGUUAUAAACAGCUUUGAAAACUGCCCACAGGCUGCAGAGCAUUCUAGAAGCUCCAGCCCAUCUCUGUUGCUGGCUAGCAAAGGCUAAUCCACUAUCAGGCCCUCCUAGUAGAUCCUCCCACUUUAAUUCUCUGCCUGUGUCCCCCUGGCCACCCGUCGCCCUGUUUCCUGACCCUACACAGUCCAGUGCUAUUAUUCAUAGCAGUGAGGAAACUUUACAUUGUCUGCUCUAGGUGAGAUGCUUCUCUCCACAGCCUCGAUGGCGAAUGGUUCACUGAUGGGUCCAGUUUUGGGGAAGAUGGGCACAGAAAGCUACGAGACUCCAUGGUGACGCUCAGAAGGACUUUGGGGGCUAAACCGCUUCCCUGGGGAAUCUCUGCUCAGAAGGUGAGCUCAUUGUCCUCCACAAAGCUUGAAAAUGGGGAAAAGACUGAGAGGGAACUUCUAUACUGAUUCCAGGGGCUCCCAUGCUCACUGGGGCGACAGAACGGCAAAGAAAGGGGAAUCCUGCCAGCCAGGACUUCACCUUGAAGGGUGCAGGGGAAAUUCGAGACUGACUGCAAGCCGUGGCCCCACACAGAGAGUCGUCUGUAAUGUUGGGAAAAGGACAUCAGAGGGGCACUCAUCCCCCCUGAGAGAUCACAGACUUGCCCAAUCAGCUACGGGGCUGCUGCACGUUUACCCUUAGGCACCACAGCCCUGCUCUCCAAGCUCCCCGACUCUUAGCCACCUUCUCAGAGUUCCCAGGGACAGCCCCAUGCUAAAGAACGAAAGGGCACAUCAUCUUUCCCCUCUCUGGGGGCUUUCAACUCCCUCUGGCCCAAUUCCACUCCCACAGGCAAGCCAGCAUUCACUUCUCUUUGAUCUGCAGCCAGCUGCUCCCUUGGGAAAGAACAGCCUCCACUCCCUGUGUCCAACCCGCGGCCUCCCUGGACACAAGCUGGCAGCGAUCCUCAGGCCAUUUUGUCAGCCUGGCCAAUAUGUGCCCAAGGAAAGCCUGAUGGUGCUGGGGACCACCCCUCCCCCGCAGCCCUCCCUUGGAACACCUGCUCCCAGGAAGCCUGCUCCCCCUGCCAGAUUGACUUUGCUCAGAGGCCCCAUGGCAGGGCUCUCCAACCACUUGUGGUUUCGGUGGAGAUCUUUUCCAUUUUGACCAUAUUUUGGCAUGGGGUGUGAGAUGCACACCCCAUGGGUCGAAGCCGCGUUUCUGAGAUGUGAUUUUCCACUUUUCCCUGAGAUUUAUUAUCAAAUAGUGAGUUUUUAUUACCAGAAGCUGAAGUUUGGGGCUUUAUCAAAUACUAUAUAACUAUAGGCCUUGAUCACUGUCAUCUAUUCCACUGAUCAACCACUCUGUUAGCUAAGAGCAAAUGGUUUUGAGAACUGCUGCUUCAUAUUAUACUUUUAGGUUUGGUAAUGCUAAGCCCCCAUCCUAUUUCAUUUUCCUUCUUUUUUACUUAAGCUUUUUAUUUUCAAAACAUAGAAAUGGAUAAUUUUUCCACAUUAACCUUUACAAAACCAUGUGUUUCAGAUUUUGCUCCCACUGCCCCCACUCCCUCCCCUAAAUGGCAAGUGAUUCAAUAUAUGUUAAUCAUGCUAUAAUAUGUUACAUUCAGUGUAUGUAUACAUAUUAAUACAAUUUCAUGCUACACAAGAAAAAUCAGAUCCAAAAGGAAAAAAAAUAAGAAAGAAAACAAAAUGCAAGCAACAGCAAAAGGAGUGAAGGUACUAUGCUGUUAUCCACUCUCAGUUCCCAGUGCCCUCUCUCUGGGUAUAAAAGUCUCUCUUUAUCACAGGAUCAUAGGAACUGUCCUGAAUCAUCUCAUUCUUAGAAUGAGCCAGG